CAGUAGCCGCGGUAAUACGAAGGGGGCUAGCGUUGUUCGGAAUUACUGGGCGUAAAGGGCGCGUAGGCGGCCAUUCAAGUUAGAUGUGAAAGCCCUGGGCUCAACCUAGGAAUUGCAUUUGAUACUGUUUGGCUUGAGUUCGGGAGAGGUGAGUGGAAUUCCCAGUGUAGAGGUGAAAUUCGUAGAUAUUGGGAAGAACACCAGUGGCGAAGGCGGCUCACUGGACCGACACUGACGCUGAGGCGCGAAAGCGUGGGGAGCAAACAGGAUUAGAUACCCCUGUAGUCCCUGUCUCUUAUAA
RNAcentral lists this ribosomal RNA (301 nucleotides) under uncultured bacterium. RNAcentral's name for it is "partial 16S ribosomal RNA". It matches the Rfam family "Bacterial small subunit ribosomal RNA", at positions 509 to 809 of the family's 1533-position model. The record is from RNAcentral.